RNAcentral lists this transfer RNA (65 nucleotides) under Franciscoloa funerei. RNAcentral's name for it is "tRNA-Trp". The record is from RNAcentral. Lineage: Eukaryota; Metazoa; Arthropoda; Insecta; Psocodea; Menoponidae.
AAAGUUAUAAGUUAAUCUCAAACUAUUAUCGUUCAAAGAUAAAAAUACUCGAGAAGUUAACUUUA